GAUGAACGCUGGCUACAGGCUUAACACAUGCAAGUCGAGGGGAAACGACGGGGAAGCUUGCUUCCCCGGGCGUCGACCGGCGCACGGGUGAGUAACGCGUAUCCAACCUGCCUCUGACUGAGGGAUAACCCGUCGAAAGUCGGCCUAAUACCUCAUGGUAUCGUCUGCGGGCAUCCAACGACGAUUAAAGAUUUCAUCGGUCAGGGAUGGGGAUGCGUCUGAUUAGCUUGUUGGCGGGGUAACGGCCCACCAAGGCUACGAUCAGUAGGGGUUCUGAGAGGAAGGUCCCCCAAAUUGGAACUGAGACACGGUCCAAACUCCUACGGGAGGCAGCAGUGAGGAAUAUUGGUCAAUGGGCGAGAGCCUGAACCAGCCAAGUAGCGUGCAGGAAGACGGCCCUAUGGGUUGUAAACUGCUUUUAUGAGGGGAUAAAGUGAGGGACGUGUCCCUCAUUGCAGGUACCGCAUGAAUAAGGACCGGCUAAUUCCGUG
RNAcentral lists this ribosomal RNA (491 nucleotides) under uncultured bacterium. RNAcentral's name for it is "partial 16S ribosomal RNA". It matches the Rfam family "Bacterial small subunit ribosomal RNA", at positions 28 to 507 of the family's 1533-position model. The record is from RNAcentral.